Molecule: ribosomal RNA, 253 nt
Filed under: uncultured bacterium
Lineage: Bacteria
Description: partial 16S ribosomal RNA
Rfam family: Bacterial small subunit ribosomal RNA
Source: RNAcentral
CACGUAGGCACCAAGCGUUAUCCGGAAUUAUUGGGCGUAAAGAGCUCGUAGGCGGUUUGUCGCGUCUGCCGUGAAAGUCCGGGGCUCAACUCCGGAUCUGCGGUGGGUACGGGCAGACUAGAGUGAUGUAGGGGAGACUGGAAUUCCUGGUGUAGCGGUGAAAUGCGCAGAUAUCAGGAGGAACACCGAUGGCGAAGGCAGGUCUCUGGGCAUUAACUGACGCUGAGGUGCGAAAGCGUGGGGAGCAAACAGG